GUGUCAGCAGCCGCGGUAAUACGGAGGGUGCUAGCGUUGUUCGGAAUCACUGGGCGUAAAGCGCGUGUAGGCGGCCCACUAAGUCUGAUGUGAAAGCCCGGGGCUCACCCCCGGAAGUGCAUUGGAAACUGGUGGACUCGAGUCCCGGAGAGGAGGGUGGAAUUCCUGGUGUAGCGGUGAAAUGCGUAGAUAUCAGGAGGAACACCGGUGGCGAAGGCGGCCCUCUGGACGGUGACUGACGCUGAGACGCGAAAGCGUGGGGAGCAAACAGGAUUAGAUACCCUGGUAGUCC
This 292-nucleotide ribosomal RNA is filed under the name uncultured bacterium. RNAcentral describes it as "partial 16S ribosomal RNA". It matches the Rfam family "Bacterial small subunit ribosomal RNA", at positions 505 to 796 of the family's 1533-position model. The record is from RNAcentral.